UCCAGCCCCAACUCAUCCACACACCAACAUGGCUCACAUGUCCUUGCCUUCCACCGAAACCCCUAAGUCAGAACUGUCUUAAAUGCUUAUCCUAAUGGAAGGAGCCUGGCCCCGUCUAGCUAAGAGAAAGGGCUGAGGAACUGAAUAGAAAAAUGCUCCCUCAACAGCAUACCCCUGCUCUAAGUGUCACCGGGAAGUCACAUCAAAUGCUCUGAAGGUGCCGGAUAUAUUUUUCCAAUUGCUUUUUAGCUUUGUAAUUACAAGGAUCUAAAAACCUU
Long non-coding RNA from Neofelis nebulosa (Clouded leopard), 278 nucleotides. RefSeq lists it as uncharacterized. The transcript is spliced from 2 exons. The record is from RefSeq and is a predicted model, not a curated record. Lineage: Eukaryota; Metazoa; Chordata; Mammalia; Carnivora; Felidae.